CAUUACCUCAUUCUCCGUGAACUCCUCAGGUGAUUUAAACCUCAAACACGCUUCAGCUGAGAACAGCGGGAUGGACCGAGACCUACAGCGCUACCGACCGAACCAGAACCGAACCGGAACCGAACCGGAACGAUGGAGAGAAAACCGAGAAAAUCAAAGUUAAAGAAAUAAAGAGAGAAUAAUGAGUGAAGCUCCUACCUUCCGCCUCCUCACUCACACACAGCCGCCAUGUUGUGGGGAACGACUUGUGACCUGCAUCACUCUGCUGACCACCAGUUCCUGAGGAACGUUAACGACCGUGUUAGCGCCUGGAGACUAGUAGGUGGAUUGGACAUUUUUACCAGUUGUACGUGCUGUGUGAAUUUUGAUCAGACUUUGGAGAAGAACGUGACAUUAGUGUGUAAAAUCUGGACCGAACUUUGCUUUCUACUCAACAUUCCAGACGCUUUAUGUAAGUAAACGCUACCAGUAAAACCAUGAGGCUCCAUUUAGAUAAAUGAUAUUAAGCAGACGUGUUUAUCCAAUAAACUUACAAGUGUGAGCAUUUAGGUGAAGCACCUUGUUCAAGGGCCCAACAGUAAAAACUUGGUAAUGGUGGGGCUUAAACCAAUGUCCUUCUGAUCACUAGUCCACUGCAUUGUCCACGGUUCCAACCAUCGUCCCACAGCACAGAUCUGAUGUGAGGAAUCAGAGUGGUGAUGUUACCCACUCAUUUAGAGCUCAGGGGUCCAGAUCAUGAAAUAAUGCAGCAGGUGAAGGAAACAGGAGACAGUGACCACGCCCGGACACAC
Trichomycterus rosablanca is the source of this 791-nucleotide long non-coding RNA. RefSeq lists it as uncharacterized. The record is from RefSeq and is a predicted model, not a curated record. The transcript is spliced from 3 exons. Lineage: Eukaryota; Metazoa; Chordata; Actinopteri; Siluriformes; Trichomycteridae.